GGAAACCCCAGUCCUUCCACCCUCCCACGGAGACACCGACUCAACAAUACACAGAUAAACUCUCUGUGAGAAAUCCAGAAGGCAGUUCAGAGGCUCCUUCACACCAGUUUCUGAGAUUCCAGUUCAAGCCUUCAACACAUGGACCUUUGCAGGACAUUCAAAAUUCAAGCUACAGCUAUUUCCAUUUGAGUCAUUGAAGGAGAUGCCACCCGAAGAACUAGGAAGUGACUAUCUCCCAAAUUAACAAGUGGAUUUCAAUUCACCAUCAGGAUGCACCUGGAACACCCCAGCCCCAGGUCAGAGCACACCUGGAAUGUAGCCUUUGAAUAGCUCCUUUAAAAGCCCUAUGUUUUCCCUGAUGGUCAGAAUCACAGCCUCCAGUACUGGAGUCCCCUGUGUUUCUCCUUUGCUAGCAAGGCAAAAAACAAACAAACAAAAAAAAAAAAAAAAAAACUUUCCUUUUUCUUAAAACC
Molecule: long non-coding RNA, 473 nt
Organism: Marmota monax (woodchuck)
Lineage: Eukaryota; Metazoa; Chordata; Mammalia; Rodentia; Sciuridae
Exons: 3
Source: RefSeq, a predicted model, not a curated record